GCUGGAGUAGCUCAGUCGGUAGAGCAGCUGUUUCGUAAACAGCAGGUCGUCGGUUCGAAUCCGACCUCCAGCU
RNAcentral lists this transfer RNA (73 nucleotides) under Candidatus Omnitrophica bacterium ADurb.Bin314. RNAcentral describes it as "tRNA-Thr". It matches the Rfam family "tRNA". Rfam says of the family: Transfer RNA (tRNA) molecules are approximately 80 nucleotides in length. Lineage: Bacteria; Pseudomonadati; Candidatus Omnitrophota. RNAcentral also lists the same sequence under 1 other name. The record is from RNAcentral.